CGAGGGGCAUCAGGAAGAAGCUUGCUUUCUUUGCUGGCGACCCGCGCACGGGUGAGUAACACGUAUCCAACCUGCCCUUUACUCGGGGAUAGCCUUUCGAAAGAAAGAUUAAUACCCGAUGGGAUAAUCAUUCCGCAUGGUUUGAUUAUUAAAGGAUUCCGGUAAAGGAUGGGGAUGCGUUCCAUUAGGUUGUUGGUGAGGUAACGGCCCACCAAGCCUUCGAUGGAUAGGGGUUCUGAGAGGAAGGUCCCCCACAUUGGAACUGAGACACGGUCCAAACUCCUACGGGAGGCAGCAGUGAGGAAUAUUGGUCAAUGGGCGAUGGCCUGAACCAGCCAAGUAGCGUGAAGGAUGACUGCCCUAUGGGUUGUAAACUUCUUUUAUAUUAGAAUAAAGUGCAGUAUGUAUACUGUUUUGUAUGUAUAAUAUGAAUAAGGAUCGGCUAACUCCGUGCCAGCAGCCGCGGUAAUACGGAGGAUCCGAGCGUUAUCCGGAUUUAUUGGGUUUAAAGGGAGCGUAGGUGGACUGGUAAGUCAGUUGUGAAAGUUUGCGGCUCAACCGUAAAAUUGCAGUUGAUACUGUCAGUCUUGAGUACAGUAGAGGUGGGCGGAAUUCGUGGUGUAGCGGUGAAAUGCUUA
RNAcentral lists this ribosomal RNA (638 nucleotides) under uncultured bacterium. RNAcentral describes it as "bacterial SSU rRNA". It matches the Rfam family "Bacterial small subunit ribosomal RNA", at positions 63 to 692 of the family's 1533-position model. The record is from RNAcentral.